UACGGGAGGCAGCAGUGGGGAAUAUUGCACAAUGGGCGGAAGCCUGAUGCAGCAACGCCGCGUGCGGGAUGACGGCCUUCGGGUUGUAAACCGCUUUCGCCUGUGACGAAGCGUGAGUGACGGUAAUGGGUAAAGAAGCACCGGCUAACUACGUGCCAGCAGCCGCGGUGAUACGUAGGGUGCGAGCGUUGUCCGGAUUUAUUGGGCGUAAAGGGCUCGUAGGUGGUUGAUCGCGUCGGAAGUGUAAUCUUGGGGCUUAACCCUGAGCGUGCUUUCGAUACGGGUUGACUUGAGGAAGGUAGGGGAGAAUGGAAUUCCUGGUGGAGCGGUGGAAUGCGCAGAUAUCAGGAGGAACACCAGUGGCGAAGGCGGUUCUCUGGGCCUUUCCUGACGCUGAGGAGCGAAAGCGUGGGGAGCGAACAGGCUUAGAUACCCUGGUAGUGCCACGCUGUAAGACGGUGGGUACUAGGUGUGGGGUCCAUUCCACGGGUUCCGU
Molecule: ribosomal RNA, 496 nt
Filed under: uncultured bacterium
Lineage: Bacteria
Description: bacterial SSU rRNA
Rfam family: Bacterial small subunit ribosomal RNA
Source: RNAcentral